Phrynosoma platyrhinos (Desert horned lizard) is the source of this 72-nucleotide non-coding RNA. Lineage: Eukaryota; Metazoa; Chordata; Lepidosauria; Squamata; Phrynosomatidae. The record is from the annotation of a GenBank genome assembly.
GCCAGUGUGAUAUGGUGGUUUGAGCAUUGCACUAUAAUUCUGGAGACCAGGGUUCAAAUCCCUGCUCAGCCA